AAAUUGAAGAGUUUGAUCAUGGCUCAGAUUGAACGCUGGCGGCAGGCCUAACACAUGCAAGUCGAGCGGAAACGAGUUGUCAGAACCUUCGGGGAACGAUAACGGCGUCGAGCGGCGGACGGGUGAGUAAUGCCUAGGAAAUUGCCCUGAUGUGGGGGAUAACCAUUGGAAACGAUGGCUAAUACC
This 186-nucleotide ribosomal RNA is filed under the name Vibrio parahaemolyticus. Its description in RNAcentral is "partial 16S ribosomal RNA". It matches the Rfam family "Bacterial small subunit ribosomal RNA", at positions 1 to 170 of the family's 1533-position model. Lineage: Bacteria; Pseudomonadati; Pseudomonadota; Gammaproteobacteria; Vibrionales; Vibrionaceae. The record is from RNAcentral.